UGGUCUAAAAUAAUGUCUUUUUGUGUUGCAGAUCUCCUACCGAUAUCUUAUUAUUGCUCUCGGAAUCCAGCUGAACUAUGAGAAGAUUAAAGGCCUACCUGAAGGUUUUGCUCAUCCCAAAAUAGGGUCGAAUUAUUCAGUUAAGACUGUAGAGAAGACAUGGAAAGCUCUGCAGGACUUCAAGGAGGGCAAUGCCGUCUUCACCUUCCCAAAUACUCCAGUGAAGUGUGCUGGAGCCCCUCAGAAGAUCAUGUAUUUAUCAGAAGCCUACUUCAGGAAGACAGGGAAGCGAUCCAAGGCCAAUAUCAUUUUCAAUACUUCUCUUGGAGCCAUUUUUGGGGUUAAGAAGUAUGCAGAUGCCCUGCAGGAGAUCAUCCGGGAGCGGAACCUCACUGUUAACUACAAGCAAAACCUCACUGAAGUCCGAGCCGAUAAACAAGAGGCUGUAUUUGAGAACCUGGACAAACCUGGAGAGACCCAAGUGAUUUCAGUGAGUAGUGAGGCUAACCU
Molecule: long non-coding RNA, 510 nt
Organism: Piliocolobus tephrosceles (Ugandan red Colobus)
Lineage: Eukaryota; Metazoa; Chordata; Mammalia; Primates; Cercopithecidae
Exons: 3
Source: RefSeq, a predicted model, not a curated record